This 491-nucleotide ribosomal RNA is filed under the name uncultured bacterium. Its description in RNAcentral is "partial 16S ribosomal RNA". It matches the Rfam family "Bacterial small subunit ribosomal RNA", at positions 29 to 506 of the family's 1533-position model. The record is from RNAcentral.
AGUGAACGCUGGCGGUAGGCCUAACACAUGCAAGUCGAACGGCAGCACAGUAAGAGCUUGCUCUUACGGGUGGCGAGUGGCGGACGGGUGAGGAAUACAUCGGAAUCUACUUUUUCGUGGGGGAUAACGUAGGGAAACUUACGCUAAUACCGCAUACGACCUACGGGUGAAAGCAGGGGAUCUUCGGACCUUGCGCGAUUGAAUGAGCCGAUGUCGGAUUAGCUAGUUGGCGGGGUAAAGGCCCACCAAGGCGACGAUCCGUAGCUGGUCCGAGAGGAUGAUCAGCCACACUGGAACUGAGACACGGUCCAGACUCCUACGGGAGGCGGCAGUGGGGAAUAUUGGACAAUGGGCGCAAGCCUGAUCCAGCCAUACCGCGUGGGUGAAGAAGGCCUUCGGGUUGUAAAGCCCUUUUGUUGGGAAAGAAAAGCAGCAGGUUAAUACCCCGCUGUUCUGACGGUACCCAAAGAAUAAGCACCGGCUAACUUCGU